RNAcentral lists this ribosomal RNA (492 nucleotides) under uncultured bacterium. RNAcentral describes it as "partial 16S ribosomal RNA". It matches the Rfam family "Bacterial small subunit ribosomal RNA", at positions 29 to 507 of the family's 1533-position model. The record is from RNAcentral.
AGUGAACGCUGGCGGUAGGCCUAACACAUGCAAGUCGAACGGCAGCACAGUAAGAGCUUGCUCUUACGGGUGGCGAGUGGCGGACGGGUGAGGAAUACAUCGGAAUCUACUUUUUCGUGGGGGAUAACGUAGGGAAACUUACGCUAAUACCGCAUACGACCUACGGGUGAAAGCAGGGGAUCUUCGGACCUUGCGCGAUUGAAUGAGCCGAUGUCGGAUUAGCUAGUUGGCGGGGUAUAGGCCCACCAAGGCGACGAUCCGUAGCUGGUCUGAGAGGAUGAUCAGCCACACUGGAACUGAGACACGGUCCAGACUCCUACGGGAGGCAGCAGUGGGGAAUAUUGGACAAUGGGCGCAAGCCUGAUCCAGCCAUACCGCGUGGGUGAAGAAGGCCUUCGGGUUGUAAAGCCCUUUUGUUGGGAAAGAAAAGAAGCAGGUUAAUACCCCGCUGUUCUGACGGUACCCAAAGAAUAAGCACCGGCUAACUUCGUG